Molecule: long non-coding RNA, 7921 nt
Filed under: Hordeum vulgare
Lineage: Eukaryota; Viridiplantae; Streptophyta; Magnoliopsida; Poales; Poaceae
Description: long non-coding RNA (HVUL_LNC003682)
Source: RNAcentral
AAACGUAUCUUAGCAAACGCUAAUAAAGGCGCACGAUUCAGCACGGCAACGUUUGAUUCCUGCGUAUAUAUAUACCUUAUAUGAAGAAAAGAAACAUAACAAUUUAACAAAAAAUCAGACAAAUUCUGAAUAUAUUUUAAAAAUAAAUUUGACCUUUCAUACGAUCACGACAAAUCUGGUCCACCCCAAAACACUUCUCUCGCGGCGCCCGCCCUCUGAUCCAGCCGCGGUCGCGCGGAAUCUCGCCGGGACGAAUCCGCCCCGCGCAUACCCCCGCCGGCCUCGGAGGACGCGAUUCUCUGCGCGUCGAGGUGAGCACCCGUGCCCGAUGCCGCAAUUUUGGGCCGGUUCGACGGGGAGUGUCGUCUUCCGCGAAACGGGAUCUAGGUAUCUUCAGGUGAACAGGUUCCUCGCGCUCUGAGCGAGGGUGGUCACCGGCGGUGUGCCAUGGUGGCUCCCCUCCCGUCGGCAGGGACGUGUCUCUCCGCCGGUGGCGGCCGCUGCCGCUCCCACCCUCUCCUUCAAGCGCUCGCCGAAGGCUUGGGCCGACUGGGCGGAGGAGCCGGAUGAUGCGGGGCCGAUGGAACUUCCGAUCUCCCUCGCGUUGCCGAAGUUGGGCGUGUUCUUGGAGGCGGCUUGGCCGGCUAGGCCGCGAGCGAGGUCGGUGGCGUCUCGGCUGGCUAUGGCGUCCCCGCGGCAAUGACCCUCUAUGGCCGGCAGAUCACGUCCCCCCUCUGCCCUAGCGAGGUCCGGCGCGUUGCCCGGGUUAUCCCCCACAGCGACGCCCGUUCCCCAUGCCGAUGGUUGCCCUGUUGUCGCCGGAGCCACGUCCUCGUCCGCGCCGGCGGUGCCGGAGGCAUGGUCGGGGCCGGCCGGGCUGCGAGGAUGCGGGGGUUGUGCCCUAGCUCGAUGGGGCCGUUGGCUGGCGGCUGGGCCGGCCGUCGCCCGUGUGGGCCGGAUUGGGGUGGACCUGGUGAGCUUUCGGCCCAGGCGGGUGCUCGGUGCUUCUAGGCGCGCGGACUCAAUCUUGGAAUGGGCCAAUAGGCCGUGGGCCCUGGCGCUGGCCGAUCCGGCCCGUUAGCUCUGGGUCCAACGGGGCGGCCCAGGCCCGCGGUCGGGGUGGCCGGCCACUCACGCUGACGUGGAACGUUGGGGUAGGGUUUCCCCUACCCUCCAGCGCUCCCAGAUCGAGCCACCGCCAACUCGCGUUUCCCAGGCCGAGCCGCUCCCUGCCCGAGUGCCCGUGUCCGCGCCGCCACCUGCCACUGCCUCCCUUCCCAUGCCGCCUCCCGCCCGAGUUCCCCUGCCCGUGCUCGCCUCGCCAGCGCCGACCCGUCCCCUGCUUGCGCCGUUGCUCGCGGCGCCCGGUGUGCACGUCCCUUCGCCCCCUCCCUUCGCGGCUCCGAGCCCCUGUGCCCCUGUGCCACGCCUCUCGUACCGGGACGCGCUGAUGCCCCGGUCGUUCGGAGACGGUCUGGCAAGGCCGAAGCGGCCGCUCCCGGCUAGCUCGGCGCCCCGGCCCGAGUCCGGUGUUCCUGCGUCUGCCCCGAAGGUGAUGUCCGGUGCGGCCUCCUCGCGUUCCGGCCGGGGCGGGACUGAUCGGCCGGAGAGGUCCCCGGUGUUCUACUCCGGCACCUCCCUGCGCCGCCCCCCGCCUCCCCGGGAUCCGACAUGAAACCCCCGCCUGCCGCUUCCGGGCUCGCGGGGGGAUGUUCGCCGCCGGGAGGCUGCCCGCCUGCGAUGCGAGGAUGUCGACAGGGAGGACGAGCUUCGGGCCGAGUUGGUGGCGCACCCGCCGGCAGCCGCUAGGGCCCGGGACGGCCUGGCCCCUCGGGAGCCGGCCUCUCGGGUGACAGCCACAAGGCCCUCGGAGCCGGACUGGCGCCGGGGACGUGGCGGCUCCUCCCGCAAGGCUCGUCGGGAUGCCCCUAGUCCGCUUCGUGAUGAGCACCGGAGGCCGACCCAUAAGUCUGGUCGUCGGUCUGUUUGGCUCCCAUCUAGGGUGGAUGGACGGGACUCGCGCCGGGAUGACUGGUCUCCCGGUCGUAGGUCCCCGGGGCAUCGAUCUGCUGAGCAGUCGGCGAUGCCGGCUUUGGCCAAGAAGAAGAAGAAACCUAAGAAGAAGAAGGCGUCUGGUGCGAUCCGUGGAGUGUCCGCCUGUCCGGCUCCGGUGGGGGUUCCUAAGCAGGUGGCUACGGAGCCCCCUGAUCGGGUCGGUCGCCAGCGCUCCCGCGAAGACACGAUGUGCAUCAACUGUGGGUGCGCGGGUCACUUUCGCUCGGAGUGUGAAGCCCCCUGCGGUGCCCCACGACCCUAGCGUAUCUCGGGUAUGGGACCAAGAGGGGGAGCUUCUACUUUGUGGAUGCGGAGAUCGAGGAGGAGGUGGCACGACCACACUUGGCGUCGGUCACCCUUGCCCCCGAGAAGGUCCUGCCGCCUGGGUUAGUGAUCUUGGCUGACCUCAUUCAGGCCGAGCUCGCCGCAUACAUUGGGGACUUUCGUGAUUCUGACUUCACAUGGGAGGUGACUGAGACGGCUCCACUCGUUUUCUCGGUCCCCUUCCCCUCGGCCAAGCUGCUCCGGGUGUGCUCCCAUGACUUCAUCCGCUACCCCAUCAACAAGUUCUUGAUCUCCGUUCAUGCUGCGACGGCGGAGUCUGAGCUUGUUCCGCCUCUGGAGAAGGUGUGGGUGCUCGUCUACGGACUUCCUAGGGGUGGCCUGGCGGCUCCGCGGGGAGGCAAGCUAAUGCACAUCCUUAAGGCGAUCUCCGAGCCGGUGGGCAAGUUGGUCACCGCGGAUUUGGCCUCCUUCGAGGAUGAUGGCCCUGCCCGUAUUGAGAUCCUCUGCCCUGCCCCGGCAGAGAUUGAUGGUCUGUCCCUCAUCUUCUACUUUGGCUCCAGAGGGCGCCGCCUCACCUUUGAGCUCGAGUCCCUGGCCUCGGUUGACCUGCACGGCCCGACCCUUGGUGCCGCUGUUGGUGAUGACGGGUAGGAUGGAGAUGGGGGUUCGUCUGAGGAGAGCUCCUUUUUUGAGGAGGAUGUUGGUGAUGACGGGGUCCCGCCGGUCGCGGCUGAUGGCCGGCGUACCAUGGUCUCCACUACUGAUGGCCCUUUCGGCACUGCCAGGGGUGGCCUCUCGGGUGGCGUCUGGGAGUGAGCCCGUCGUCCUCGUCGGGCUCCCGCCGGUCAUCUCUGACCUGGUGGUCGUGGACAAGGGGAGGUCCUGGGCGGCUCCUCCCUGUCACUACUACGGCCGCUAACCUGGAGUUCGAGGAGGCGGACGUGCUGAGUGUGGGGAUGGAGGUGUGCCCCUUGUCAUCGCCGCGCUCUCCGGGGGUGGUCUGCUACUCGCGCUCGCCGGGGUCGCCUUCUCCAACCUUGGGAUCCCCGGAGCGGGUUCUGCCGUCGCCCCUAGACUUGGGUCUGUUGGCGGUGACCCCGGAGGCUGCUGGCCCCAAGGCUCGUGGUGCGGACUCUCCGGUGGUGUCUGCGCGUCAGCGUGCGAGGCUCAGCCAGUCGCGCCUCCUCCUAGAUGGCUGGGUCACUACGAUCCAGGAGAAGGCCUCCCUGCGCGCUUGACCUGUCCCCAGGUACCUCCUCCCUCCCUCUCGCUCCUUCUCGCUCGACCUCUCGGUUCUCCAUUCUUGGUUGCAAGUCGUUGUCCCAUCUGGCUGAAGUGGCUUCCGAUAGUGGCAUUGUGUUUCGGGGUGAGAAGGGGCCCAUCCUGGAGCAGAUUUCCGCGAUUUGCGCCAAGGAGAAGCUUGAGGGGGCGCUGGCGGAAUCCCGUGCCUUUGCUGCGCGUGGUGAUCCCAGCUCCCAGGAGACCACUGACCCUGGUCAUAGAGAGACCAGGGGUGGUACUGCCCCCUCGUUGGCAACUAUGGCUGGGACUUCCAUGUUAGUUCCCUCCCCGCUGAGGGAGCCACGCGGUCGACCUCCCACACGCCUAAACCCCACGGAGCACCGCCUCGAGGUGCGUAGGUCUAGCUCCCGAUCCACCUCCCUCGGACCGGGGGUCACGGCUGCCCCCGCUGCGCGGGGGCAGCGUGGCCAUCCGUCUAAGGUUAUCCCCCGUCCCGCGAUUGACGGGCGGGCUAGAUCGGCCCCGCUUGCGGGGCCUAGGAAUCCAGACGAGGUUAUUAAAUGAAGCUCCUAUGUUGGAACAUCAGGGGCUUUGGCAUCACUGGCCGGCGGCGGCAGCUCAUCGAGUAUUUGCGUCAGGAAGAGAUUGACAUAGUGGGACUACAGGAGAUGAUUUGCCAGGAUUUUAGCAUGCAUGAGCUCCAUAGGCUUUCCCGUCACCAGUUUGCCUGGUAGUGCCUCCCUGCUGCGGGCCACUCUGGGGGAAUCCUGUUUGGUGUUAGGGAGGAUGUGUUCUCGAUUGAGGACAUGGACCGUGGGGAGUUCUUCGUGAGCAUGUCCGUCACUGACCGACGAGUUCACCUCAGUUGGGAGGUGAUUAUCGUCUAUGGUCCGGCGGACCAUGUCCGCUCGGCCGACUUCCUUGCCGAGUUGAAAAACAAGGUGGAGAGGUGCACCACCCCGGUGGUGGUGGCUGACGACUUUAACCUGAUUAGGUGGGCUUCUGAUAAAACUCUCCAAAUGUGGAUCGGCCCCGAAUGCGUCUCUUCAAUGAUUGCAUUGCGGACCUGGCGCUCCGUGAGAUAGCCCGCAUUGGGGCUAGGUUCACGUGGUCGAAUAAACAGGCGGACCCCAUCCGGAGUGUCUUGGAUUGGGUCUUUGUGUCGGCCCAAUGGUAAGUGAUGUUCCAUCUUUGUGGCCUUAAGGCGGUCACGCGGAUUGGCUCCGACCAUACGCCCCUGAUUUUCUCGUCGGGGGAAGGGUCCCCCCUAGAUCCCGUUGCUUCCGCUUUGAAACGUUCUGGCUGGAGCAGCCUGGUUUCUGCAAGCUGGUUCACGACCGCUGGUGUCUUGCGGCCUCGUCCCCACCGCAUGUCUUCUGUGCGGUGGAUAUAUGGCACCACUGUGCUGAGUUGGCUCGACAGUCCAUGAAGGGCUGGGGUGUGAACUUGGGUGCUGACCUCCGGGCCCGUAAAGGGGUCCUGCUGGGUCAUAUUAAGGCUCUGGAUGACUUGGAAGACGGGUCGGGUCUGUUCCUGGACGACUGGAUCCGGAGAUACUCCCUCGAGACCUCGGUCAUGGAAAUCUUCAAGAGCGAGGAACUGUUCUGGCAGCGUCGAGGGGGCCAGAACUGGCUCCUAAAGGGUGAUGCGGACACCGCCUACUUUCAGGACAUUGCUAAUGGUGGUAGGCGGAAAUGCAUCAUUCCUUUCCUCUGGGAUGGGGAUGCUCUCCUGGAAAGCCGAGAGGACAUCUCAUCCCAUAUUUACUCUUUCUAUAAGGAGUUGUUCUCGGCUGAGCCGCGUGGAGGCACCUCCCUUUGUGAGGGCUUCUGGCCGCUAGCUGGUCAGGUGUCCGACGCGGAGAAUGCAGAGCUUACUCUCCUGUUCUCCUCGGAGGAGGUGGGUCAGGUGAUUGCCUCUAUGAAGGCGUGCUCGGCCCCGGGGCCGGAUGGCCUCCCGGCUGUCUUCUUCCAGAGAUUCUGGGAGACCCUGAGCCCGCUCAUCAUGCCCAUGUUCCAUGAAUUCUAUAUAGGCACCUUGGACAUGGGCAGGAUUAACUUUGGCGUCAUUGCUCUCACCCCCAAAGUAGUUGGGGCUUCGGAUAUCCGGCAAUUCCUCCCAUCACGGUGAUUAACGUGUUGGCGCGAAUCUUCGCAAAGGUCUGCGCCACUCGUCUGUCCCCUGUGGCCGAAUGGAUUGCUCACCCCCUCUAGUCUGCAUUCCUGAAGGGCAGGCAGAUUCAUGAUGGGAUUCUUGCCCUCCACGAGAUUGUCCACGAGGUGGCGUCCAAGGGGCUCAAGGGGGUCUUCCUCAAAUUGGACUUCCAGAAGGCGUAUGACCGUCUUGAUUGGUACUUUUUGAGGUUGGUGAUGCAACGACGUGGAUUUGACGAGAGGUGGUGUUCCUAGAUCAUGCAACUGGUCAGAUCUGGUAACAUGGCGAUCAACAUCAAUGGUGAAGUGGCCCCCUUUUUCCAGGCUUCCACGGGGGUAAAGCAAGGGGAUCCUAUAUCCCCCCUGCUUUUUAACAUCACUGUCGACGCCCUUGCUGGCAUCCUGGAUAAGGCCAAGCUAGCCGAUCAUAUUCAGGGGGUGGUUGGCCACCUCAUCUCGGGUGGUGGUCUUUCCCACCUCCAAUAUGCGGACGACACCAUGAUCAUGGUCGUAGGUUCCGACUCGGACAUUGCUAAUCUUAAGUUCCUUUUGCUUUGCUUCGAGGAAAUGUGUGGACUUAAGAUUAACUUUGAUAAGAGUGAGGUUGUGGUCCUUGGCUACUCCGAGGCUGAGCAUCAGAGGAUCGCUGACAACCUUAACUGCAAGCUGGCUGCCUUCCCCAUCUCAUAUUUGGGGAUGCCCCUGGCUGAGUCCAGGAUCUUGGUUAGCGGGUUUGAUCCGCUCGUGGGACGAGUAGCAUCCCGUGCGGAGCCCUGGUGCGGCAGGUUCACGUCUAAGGGCAACAAGACCGUCCUCAUUAGUUCUAACCUUGCAAGCCACCCCAUGUAUAUGAUGGGGAUGUAUAUCUUGCCCGAAGGUGUGCAUAGCGCCUUUGACAAGGAGCUGGCUAGGUUCUUCUGGCAGGCACGGGAUGGUAGACCCAAAUACCACUUGGUGAAGUGGGCCGAUAUCUGCCUGCCGAAACACCGAGGGGGCUUGGGCAUCCCUGCAUCCCGCCGCAUGAGCAUUGCCCUCAUGCUGUGUUGGGUGUGGAGGAUCCUGCAGGGAGAUGGGGGUUUGUGGCUACAACCGACUGAGGCCAAGUACCUGCGGGGUAGGCCCCUCUUGGCCUGCUCGCUCGCGACUGGGUCACAGUUCUGGAAAUCUAUCGAGGGCAUCAAGAACGAUAUUAGGUUGGGUCUGCGGGUCUCGGUGGGCAAUGGGUCUGGGACCCAGUUUUGGUUGGACCCGUGGCUGGAUGGAGAACCUUUAUGCUUGCGAUUUCCGAGGCUUUUUGCUAUUUGCGUCGAUCGAUCUGUCCUUGUCUCUGUGUCUGCCUUGGAGGACGGAUGUCAUUUUGCGUUCCACCGCCCCCUCGGUCCAGGAUUGGGAGAUCUUGCAGGCAGUGGUUCCCCUCCCAGACUCGUCGGUCAGUGAUAGUGUUUCUUGGAGUCUUUCUCCUUCGGGAGAAUUCUCCGUUAGUUCGGCUUAUCUGGCACUGUGCCGGAUGCUGGUCCUUCCGUGGUUAUCCCCACUUUGGAAGGCACCAUUGCCCGUGAAGAUCAAGAUUUUCGUUUGGAAGCUCCUCCGCGAUCGUUUGCCUUCAGGGACCGAGGUGCUGAAACGCCAUGGUCUGGGUAACACCACUUGUCCCCUAUGCCACGUCCCGGAGACUAGAACUCACAUUCUAUUCUCCUGCAUUGCGGCACAUGCCCUUUGGUGCUUUGUGCGUGAGGCUCUGGGACCAGAGUGGGAGGCUCAUGACCUUGCAGAAUUUCUGCACGUAAGGGCCAUCCAGGUUGGCCGUAAGCGCCGACUGUUCUGGCUGGUCUUUGCAGCGAUGAUGUGGACUCUUUGGACUACUCGCAACAAAAUGGUGAUUGAGCGGGUGUUUGAGUGGCAUGCAUCUGACUCAUUCUUCAAAUUCCUUGCCUUCUUGCAGCACUGGUAUCCACUCGCUAGGACCCGAGACCGGCUUCAGCGCUAUCUGGACGCGUUGAUGACGUCCGCCCGACGGCUCUCCGCUCACUCGCAUGCUGAUUAGCUUUCCCCUAUGAUGGCAUAUUUUGUUUCUUUUUUUUCUUGGGCGUGACUGUGCUGUUGCCCGAGCGUUUUUUAUGUUUUAUCACUCUGUUGGGCUGUGGUUGUGUGGAUGCUAGAAUCUUUGCUUUAUAUAUAAAGCGGGG